UCCGGUUCUUCACCAGCAGUCUCCUUAGAGUCCCCACCUUAACGUGCUGGUAACUAAGGACAAGGGUUGCGCUCGUUACGGGACUUAACCCAACAUCUCACAACACGAGCUGACGACAGCCAUGCAGCACCUGUCUCCUGGUUCCUUGCGGCACUCUAGCCUCUCGGCCAAAUUCCAGGGAUGUCAAAAGUAGGUAAGGUUCUUCGCGUUGCAUCGAAUUAAACCACAUGCUCCACCGCUUGUGCGGGCCCCCGUCAAUUCCUUUGAGUUUCAACCUUGCGGCCGUACUUCCCAGGCGGAAGACUUAUCGCGUUAGCUUCGGUACAGAUGAGUUCCCCCACCUACAUCUAGUCUUCAUCGUUUACAGCGUGGACUAC
This 377-nucleotide unclassified non-coding RNA is filed under the name uncultured Gammaproteobacteria bacterium. Its description in RNAcentral is "contains 16S-23S intergenic spacer region". Lineage: Bacteria; Pseudomonadati; Pseudomonadota; Gammaproteobacteria. The record is from RNAcentral.